UACGUAGGGGGCAAGCGUUGUCCGGAUUUAUUGGGCGUAAAGAGCGUGUAGGCGGCCAGGUAGGUCCGUUGUGAAAACUCGAGGCUCAACCUCGAGACGCCGGUGGAAACCAUCAGACUAGAGUCCGGAAGAGGAGAGUGGAAUUCCUGGUGUAGCGGUGAAAUGCGCAGAUAUCAGGAAGAACACCCGUGGCUAAGGCGGCUCUCUAGUACGGUACUGACGCUGAGACGCGAAAGCGUGGGGAGCGAACAGG
Molecule: ribosomal RNA, 253 nt
Filed under: uncultured bacterium
Lineage: Bacteria
Description: partial 16S ribosomal RNA
Rfam family: Bacterial small subunit ribosomal RNA
Source: RNAcentral